RNAcentral lists this transfer RNA (72 nucleotides) under Fusarium graminearum. RNAcentral's name for it is "tRNA-Pro (TGG) (tRNA-Pro-TGG-1-1, tRNA-Pro-TGG-1-2)". It matches the Rfam family "tRNA". Rfam says of the family: Transfer RNA (tRNA) molecules are approximately 80 nucleotides in length. Lineage: Eukaryota; Fungi; Ascomycota; Sordariomycetes; Hypocreales; Nectriaceae. RNAcentral also lists the same sequence under 3 other names. The record is from RNAcentral.
GGCUCAAUGGUCUAGCGGUAUGAUUCCUGCUUUGGGUGCAGGAGGUCCCGGGUUCAAUCCCCGGUUGAGCCC